GGUUUUGUUUCUCUUUUUAUAUUUAAGAGUUAUAUUUCCUAAGCAAAAACAUUCAAUUCAUUUAAUCAGUGAUUAUCUAACAAAUAGAACCAAACGAUCUCCACCGCUAAGACCAACAAAUUUCUUUUGUCUUGCCGAACCGUCGGAGAAAAAAUUUUACUGCUGUCAUUUAUUUCGUUUCAUUCGGGGCUCAGUUUUUGGUAACUCUUUAAAGUGGCGUUUGAUUUUUCCGACAUGUUGAAGUUUUUGGUGAGCUUCUACAUUUUUGUGUUAUUAAUUACAAUUAUAUGGAAAUAACAUAACAUUCGGUGCUGGUAUAUACACUGGAAUAUACAUAAGUCAAAAUUAUGAGGUCCCCCGUGUCGAUGAACCUGGCAAGCUGGUCGAUAAAAUAAAGGAAUUCGCUGACGAGCAUCGGAAAAAGUAAUGAAUUCAAAUCGAAACUAAUUGUACUUUAUUAAAAUCACUUCAAUAAAACAAGAACUUGAUACAACAAAA
Molecule: RNA transcript, 498 nt
Organism: Ceratitis capitata (Mediterranean fruit fly)
Lineage: Eukaryota; Metazoa; Arthropoda; Insecta; Diptera; Tephritidae
Exons: 3
Source: RefSeq, a predicted model, not a curated record